This 334-nucleotide unclassified non-coding RNA is filed under the name soil metagenome. RNAcentral's name for it is "partial contains 5.8S ribosomal RNA, internal transcribed spacer 2, and large subunit ribosomal RNA". The stretch from base 1 to 120 matches the Rfam family "5.8S ribosomal RNA", at positions 35 to 154 of the family's 154-position model. The record is from RNAcentral.
GAUGAAGAACGUAGUGAAAUGCGAUAAGUAAUGUGAAUUGCAGAAUUCAGUGAAUCAUCGAAUCUUUGAACGCACAUUGCGCCCGCCAGUAUUCUGGCGGGCAUGCCUGUUCAAGCGUCAUUUCAACCAUCAAGCCCUGCUUGCGUUGGGGUCCUGCGGCUGCCCGCAGGCCCUGAAAACCAGUGGCGGGCUCGCUAGUCACACCGAGCGCAGUAAUACAUCUCGCUUUGGGCGUGCGGCGGGUUCUUGCCGUUAAACACCCCCUUUUUACCAAGGUUGACCUCGGAUCAGGUAGGAAUACCCGCUGAACUUAAGCAUAUCAAUAAGCGGAGGA